Long non-coding RNA from Orcinus orca (killer whale), 395 nucleotides. RefSeq lists it as uncharacterized. The record is from RefSeq and is a predicted model, not a curated record. Lineage: Eukaryota; Metazoa; Chordata; Mammalia; Artiodactyla; Delphinidae. The transcript is spliced from 3 exons.
CCAUGGAGAAUUCCUCCAGCCAAGAGGAAUUUGAACGCUUUUCCCGAAUAGUGGAAAAUGAACGUCUUAUGGAGCUAGGGUCUGUCACCACCUGGAAACAUGAGCCCCCAGAAGAACACAAGGGGAUGAUUCUGCCUCCUCCAUGUGAAGAACGGCUUUCAGAAGAGACACUUGCAUCUCUAAGGUCUCCGUUGUCUGACUCAAAACAGACGUGAUAACAACACUGCAGUCUACGUGGUAACAACAACUGCAGCCAACGGGUAUCAGAGGUGGUGCAAGACACGCCCACACACACAAAUCAUGGCCAUGUCCCAGGACGUUGAGCAGGGAGCCCCAAAGGAUGGGCAGGAGUACACAGUGGUGAGUGUAUAGCAUGGGCUGACACCUGAAUUGAA